GCAUAACGCGAAGAACCUUACCAAGGCUUGACAUGCAUCUCUAAGCGCGUGAAAGCGCGUGACCCUUCGGGGGAUUUGCACAGGUGCUGCAUGGCCGUCGUCAGCUCGUGUCGUGAGAUGUUGGGUUAAGUCCCGCAACGAGCGCAACCCUUGUGACUAGUUGCCAGCACGUUAUGGUGGGAACUCUAGUCAGACUGCCCAGAUCAACUGGGAGGAAGGUGGGGACGACGUCAGGUCAGUAUGGCCCUUACGCCUUGGGCUGCACACGUACUACAAUGCCCAGCACAAUGAGAACCGAGACCGCGAGGUGGAGGAAAUCUAAAAAACUGGGCCCAGUUCGGAUUGGAGGCUGCAACUCGCCUCCAUGAAGUUGGAAUCGCUAGUAAUGGCGCAUCAUCUACGGCGCCGUGAAUACGUUCCCGGGUCUUGUACACACCG
RNAcentral lists this ribosomal RNA (438 nucleotides) under uncultured bacterium. Its description in RNAcentral is "bacterial SSU rRNA". It matches the Rfam family "Bacterial small subunit ribosomal RNA", at positions 954 to 1392 of the family's 1533-position model. The record is from RNAcentral.